This 468-nucleotide ribosomal RNA is filed under the name uncultured bacterium. RNAcentral describes it as "partial 16S ribosomal RNA". It matches the Rfam family "Bacterial small subunit ribosomal RNA", at positions 28 to 507 of the family's 1533-position model. The record is from RNAcentral.
GACGAACGCUGGCGGCGUGCUUAACACAUGCAAGUCGAACGGAAAGGCCCUGCUUUUGUGGGGUGCUCGAGUGGCGAACGGGUGAGUAACACGUGAGUAACCUGCCCUUGACUUUGGGAUAACUUCAGGAAACUGGGGCUAAUACCGGAUAGGAGCUCCUGCUGCAUGGUGGGGGUUGGAAAGUUUCGGCGGUUGGGGAUGGACUCGCGGCUUAUCAGCUUGUUGGUGGGGUAGUGGCUUACCAAGGCUUUGACGGGUAGCCGGCCUGAGAGGGUGACCGGCAAAGUGGGAACGGAAAUGCGGCCCGGCCCCCACGGGGAGGGGGCGGGGGGGAAUGGUAUACAGGGGGCGGGGCCCUAGCGCGCCAACGCCGGGUGGGGGUAGGGGUCCUGGGGUUAGUACCCCACUUCCCCUUUAGCAGAGGGGAGAGUGAGGGUAAGGGGAAAAGAGGCCCCGGCUAACUCGGUG